RNAcentral lists this unclassified non-coding RNA (263 nucleotides) under fungal sp. RNAcentral's name for it is "partial internal transcribed spacer region". The stretch from base 1 to 46 matches the Rfam family "Eukaryotic small subunit ribosomal RNA", at positions 1786 to 1831 of the family's 1831-position model. The record is from RNAcentral. Lineage: Eukaryota; Fungi.
AAGUCGUAACAAGGUUUCCGUAGGUGAACCUGCGGAAGGAUCAUUAUCACGUAUCCACGUAUAAACCAUUGUGAACCGUCUUUAACCUCCGCGAAACUGGCCCAUCAUGUAUGUGAGAAAGCCAGCGUAGCGGAGCGUAUUUACCUAUUAACCAUUUUAACCAAUCUUUAUAACUUUCUGAACUAACUUUAUUUUAUACUCUUCGGAGAUAAAAUUCAUUACGAAACAAAGAACAACUCUUAGCAACGGAUAUCUUGGUUCUC